GCAAGUCGAACGAGAAAGGUCCUUUCGGGGACUGAGUAGAGUGGCGCACGGGUGAGUAACGCGUAAGUAAUCUACCUUCGAGUUUGGGAUAACAUUUUGAAAAGAAUGCUAAUACCGAAUAAGACCACAAUGGGGUGAUCCAUGGUGGUAAAAGAUAGCCUCUUCUUGAAAGCUUUCACUUGGGGAUGAGCUUGCGUACCAUUAGUUUGAUGGUGGGGUAAAGGCCUACCAUGGCAACGAUGGUUAGCUGGUCUGAGAGGAUGAUC
RNAcentral lists this ribosomal RNA (266 nucleotides) under uncultured bacterium. RNAcentral describes it as "partial 16S ribosomal RNA". It matches the Rfam family "Bacterial small subunit ribosomal RNA", at positions 57 to 305 of the family's 1533-position model. The record is from RNAcentral.